RNAcentral lists this ribosomal RNA (472 nucleotides) under uncultured bacterium. Its description in RNAcentral is "partial 16S ribosomal RNA". It matches the Rfam family "Bacterial small subunit ribosomal RNA", at positions 28 to 507 of the family's 1533-position model. The record is from RNAcentral.
GACGAACGCUGGCGGCGUGCUUAACACAUGCAAGUCGAACGCUGAAGCUUGGUGCUUGCACUGGGUGGAUGAGUGGCGAACGGGUGAGUAAUACGUGAGUAACCUGCCCUUGACUCUGGGAUAAGCCUGGGAAACUGGGUCUAAUACUGGAUACGACAUGUCACCGCAUGGUGGUGUGUGGAAAGGGUUUUACUGGUUUUGGAUGGGCUCACGGCCUAUCAGCUUGUUGGUGGGGUAAUGGCUCACCAAGGCGACGACGGGUAGCCGGCCUGAGAGAGUGACCGGCCACACUGGGACUGAGACACGGCCCAGACUCCUACGGGAGGCAGCAGUGGGGAAUAUUGCACAAUGGGCGGAAGCCUGAUGCAGCGACGCCGCGUGAGGGAUGACGGCCUUCGGGUUGUAAACCUCUUUCAGCACGGAAGAAGCGAAAGUGACGGUACGUGCAGAAGAAGCGCCGGCUAACUACGUG